GAUGAAGAACGCAGCAAAAUGCGAUAAGUAAUGUGAAUUGCAGAAUUCAGUGAAUCAUCGAAUCUUUGAACGCACAUUGCGCCCGCUGGUAUUCCGGCGGGCAUGCCUGUUCGAGCGUCAUUUCAACCCUCAAGCCCCCGGGUUUGGUGUUGGGGAUCGGCUCUGCCUUCUGGCGGUGCCGCCCCCGAAAUACAUUGGCGGUCUCGCUGCAGCCUCCAUUGCGUAGUAGCUAACACCUCGCAACUGGAACGCGGCGCGGCCAUGCCGUAAAACCCCAACUUCUGAAUGUUGACCUCGGAUCAGGUAGGAAUACCCGCUGAACUUAAGCAUAUCAAAAGCGGAGGA
Molecule: unclassified non-coding RNA, 345 nt
Filed under: soil metagenome
Description: partial contains 5.8S ribosomal RNA, internal transcribed spacer 2, and large subunit ribosomal RNA
Rfam family: 5.8S ribosomal RNA (bases 1-120)
Source: RNAcentral